GGGUUGUGAGGUUAAGCGACUAAGCGUACACGGUGGAUGCCCUGGCAGUCAGAGGCGAUGAAGGGCGUGCUAAUCUGCGAUAAGCGCCGGUAAGGUGAUAUGAACCGUUAUAACCGGCGAUACCCGAAUGGGGAAACCCAGUGUGACUCGUCACACUAUCAUUAACUGAAUCCAUAGGUUAAUGAGGCGAACCGGGGGAACUGAAACAUCUAAGUACCCCGAGGAAAAGAAAUCAACCGAGAUUCCCCCAGUAGCGGCGAGCGAACGGGGAGGAGCCCAGAGCCUGAAUCAGCAUGUGUGUUAGUGGAAGCGUCUGGAAAGGCGCGCGAUACAGGGUGACAGCCCCGUACACAAAAGCGCAUGUGCUGUGAGCUCGAUGAGUAGGGCGGGACACGUGGUAUCCUGUCUGAAUAUGGGGGGACCAUCCUCCAAGGCUAAAUACUCCUGACUGACCGAUAGUGAACCAGUACCGUGAGGGAAAGGCGAAAAGAACCCCGGCGAGGGGAGUGAAAAAGAACCUGAAACCGUGUACGUACAAGCAGUGGGAGCACCCUUUUGGGUGUGACUGCGUACCUUUUGUAUAAUGGGUCAGCGACUUAUAUUCUGUAGCAAGGUUAACCGUAUAGGGGAGCCGGAGGGAAACCGAGUCUUAACCGGGCGUUAAGUUGCAGGGUAUAGACCCGAAACCCGGUGAUCUAGCCAUGGGCAGGUUGAAGGUUGGGUAACACUAACUGGAGGACCGAACCGACUAAUGUUGAAAAAUUAGCGGAUGACCUGUGGCUGGGGGUGAAAGGCCAAUCAAACCGGGAGAUAGCUGGUUCUCCCCGAAAGCUAUUUAGGUAGCGCCUCGUGAAUUCAUCUCCGGGGGUAGAGCACUGUUUCGGCUAGGGGGCCAUCCCGGCUUACCAACCCGAUGCAAACUGCGAAUACCGGAGAAUGUUAUCACGGGAGACACACGGCGGGUGCUAACGUCCGUCGUGAAGAGGGAAACAACCCAGACCGCCAGCUAAGGUCCCAAAGUCAUGGUUAAGUGGGAAACGAUGUGGGAAGGCCCAGACAGCCAGGAUGUUGGCUUAGAAGCAGCCAUCAUUUAAAGAAAGCGUAAUAGCUCACUGGUCGAGUCGGCCUGCGCGGAAGAUGUAACGGGGCUAAACCAUGCACCGAAGCUGCGGCAGCGA
RNAcentral lists this ribosomal RNA (1178 nucleotides) under Salmonella enterica subsp. enterica serovar Holcomb. Its description in RNAcentral is "bacterial LSU rRNA". It matches the Rfam family "Bacterial large subunit ribosomal RNA", at positions 1 to 1211 of the family's 2925-position model. Lineage: Bacteria; Pseudomonadati; Pseudomonadota; Gammaproteobacteria; Enterobacterales; Enterobacteriaceae. The record is from RNAcentral.